This 70-nucleotide transfer RNA is filed under the name Mastacembelus armatus (zig-zag eel). RNAcentral describes it as "tRNA-Arg". It matches the Rfam family "tRNA". Rfam says of the family: Transfer RNA (tRNA) molecules are approximately 80 nucleotides in length. Their secondary structure includes four short double-helical elements and three loops (D, anti-codon, and T loops). The record is from RNAcentral. Lineage: Eukaryota; Metazoa; Chordata; Actinopteri; Synbranchiformes; Mastacembelidae.
AGGUAUUUAGUUUCAAUAAAAACAUUUGAUUUCGGCUCAAAAAACUAUGGUUCAACCCCAUAACUACCUG